RNAcentral lists this long non-coding RNA (1299 nucleotides) under Rhinopithecus bieti (black snub-nosed monkey). Its description in RNAcentral is "lncRNA (ENSRBIG00000045845.1)". The record is from RNAcentral. Lineage: Eukaryota; Metazoa; Chordata; Mammalia; Primates; Cercopithecidae.
GCCUGCGGCAGUGCAGGAACCCAGCUGGGGCACCCUGACCCUCUGGCCAUGCCCUUCUGCUCCUGUGCAGGGGACAGCAGAGGGGAGCUCGGGGACUGACAUCCCAAAGGCCUGGUCCCCUCCUUGCUCUCGCAGCCAGUCCUUGCUCUAGGACAGCGACCCAUGUCUGCAGCCCGACCCAGCCCACCCACAGAGCCCGGCGUCCCAGAGCUGCUGGGGGGCACGGUGGUCGGGAAGUGAGUGGUUGGGCAGUCCUCCGCAGGGCUGCUGCCAGAUCUCAGCCUCGGAGGUUUCCCUGAAACAGAGCCAACGCCCGCAAAGACCUGGGCAGACCGCAGGGGCCAGGGGAUCAGGGGACCGGGUCCCUCAUUAGAGUCAGAAAAAUGCUCCCAGGAGGACGCCAGGCUGCUGAGGCCUGUGGCUGACACCAGGGGGCAGGGCGGGGCGGCGGGGACAGCGGCCGGAGGAGGGAGCCGCCCAGACCCAGCCCGGGGGCGAACGAAGGGCGGGCGUGGUGGGCGCCUGCUAGCUCCGGCUUGCGGUGUUGCGCCUUUGCGACAUCGCUCGGGGAGGGGAGAGCCCCGGGCCCGGCCGCCCCGCGCCGUGGCCGGGAAGGGGGACACAGCGCACGCGUGCGGCGCCCGACGGCGUCUCCCAGCACGCCCGAUCCCCCGUGCAGGCGGCGGCCCGGCCCCUUUCCAAGCACAACAGCGGCCCCGCCGCGGCCCCGCGCUGACCCACUUUCCCUCCCGCCUCCUCGGCCCGAGGCCGAGAAUCCAGCGGCCGCCGCCAAGCAGGGUUCUGUCUACUUCUUCUGCAGGCUGUUGGUUUCCUUCAAAUGUCGGGGUUCUUGAUUGUCCGAUCCCAUUUGUAAAUGAGUGCCCAGACAGUGGUUCUCAAAGUGAGAUCCACGGACGCGUGGGUUCUUAAGACUCUUUCUGGGUGUCUGCAAAGCCAAAACUAUUUAAUAGGAAUAAAAAAGACUUUUUUUUUUUUUUUCUGAUGGGUGUUCAGGUGCUCGCUUCAGCAGCACAUAUACAAAUGGGUGUUCAGUGGAGUUUUCCAGAGUCUACGUGAUGUGUAUUAUCACUACAGCUUGAAAGAAGAAGGAGGUAUGAAAAUCCAGCUGUUAAGUCAGGAAACAACAGGUGCUGGAGAGGAUGUGGAGAAAUAGGAACACUUUUACACUGUUGGUGGGAUUGUAAACUAGUUCAACCAUUAUGGAAAACAGUAUGGCGAUUCCUCAAGGAUCUAGAACUAGAAGUACCAUAUGACCCAGCCAUCCCACUACUGGGUAUA